AGCAGCCGCGGUAAUUCCAGCUCCAAUAGCGUAUAUUAAAGUUGUUGCAGUUAAAAAGCUCGUAGUUGAAUUUCGGGAUCAAGGAAUCGGUCAUGCCUUGGUAUGUACUGGUUUUAUUGGUUCUCACCUUCUAAAGAACCAUGAUGUCAUUCAUUUGAUGUUAUGGGGAAUUAGGACUGUUACCUUGAAAAAAUUAGAGUGUUUAAAGCAGGCUCACGCUUGAAUACAUUAGCAUGGAAUAAUGAAAUAGGACGUUUGAUUCUAUUUUGUUGGUUUCUAGGAUCGACGUAAUGAUUAAUAGGGAUAGUUGGGGGCAUUAGUAUUCAAUUGUCAGAGGUGAAAUUCUUGGAUUUAUUGAAGACUAACUACUGCGAAAGCAUUUGCCAAGGAUGUUUUCAUUAAUCAAGAACGAAAGUUAGGGGAUCGAAGACGAUCAGAUACCGUCGUAGU
Molecule: ribosomal RNA, 450 nt
Filed under: uncultured Glomeromycotina
Lineage: Eukaryota; Fungi; Glomeromycota
Description: SSU rRNA
Rfam family: Eukaryotic small subunit ribosomal RNA
Source: RNAcentral